GAUGAACGCUAGCGGUAUGCUUAACACAUGCAAGUCGUACGGGAGUUUUUAACUCAAGUGGCGGACGGGUGAGUAACACGUGAGAAUUUACCUUUAGGAGGGGGAUAACAAUUGGAAACGAUUGCUAAUACCCCAUAUGCUUUUUAAGUGAAACGGAUUUAUUCGCCUAAAGAAAAGCUCGCGGCUGAUUAGCUAGUUGGUAAGGUAAUGGCUUACCAAGGCGACGAUCAGUAUCUGGUUUGAGAGGACGAUCAGCCACACUGGGACUGAGACACGGCCCAGACUCCUACGGGAGGCAGCAGUGGGGAAUCUUAGACAAUGGGGGAAACCCUGAUCUAGCCAUGCCGCGUGAUCGAUGAAGGCCUUAGGGUUGUAAAGAUCUUUCAGCUGGGAAGAUAAUGACUGUACCAGCAGAAGAAGCCCCGGCUAACUCCGUG
Molecule: ribosomal RNA, 437 nt
Filed under: uncultured bacterium
Lineage: Bacteria
Description: bacterial SSU rRNA
Rfam family: Bacterial small subunit ribosomal RNA
Source: RNAcentral